CGUGGGCUCUUCAGAUUAGCACAUGAGGGGGAAAAAAUAUCCAGAGUUUCCUUCUUCCAGUGAAGGAUGGGAUGUAUGAAUAAGUCUUCUAAGUACUCCAGAGAGUCAAGAACACAGCGAGAUGCACAAAAACAAGAAUGGGGUUCUCCAAGGGUCCUGAAAAGGAUGAUGUCAGAACAGAGAUG
Non-coding RNA from Vicugna pacos (alpaca), 185 nucleotides. Lineage: Eukaryota; Metazoa; Chordata; Mammalia; Artiodactyla; Camelidae. The record is from RefSeq and is a predicted model, not a curated record.